Molecule: ribosomal RNA, 511 nt
Filed under: uncultured bacterium
Lineage: Bacteria
Description: partial 16S ribosomal RNA
Rfam family: Bacterial small subunit ribosomal RNA
Source: RNAcentral
GACGAACGCUGGCGGCGUGCCUAAUACAUGCAAGUCGAGCGAAUCAAUGGGAGCUUGCUCCCUGAGAUUAGCGGCGGACGGGUGAGUAACACGUGAGUAAUCUGCCCCGAUGACUGGGACAACCCGAGGAAACUCGGGCUAAUACCGGAUGAUGAGCCAAGGUUUAAGCCUUGUCUCUAAAGGAAGCUUCGGCCUCCGCAUCGGGAGGAGCUCGCGGCGCAUUAGCUUGUUGGUGGGGUAACGGCCUACCAAGGCGACGAUGCGUAGCUGGCCUGAGAGGACGAUCAGCCACACUGGGACUGAGACACGGCCCAGACUCCUACGGGAGGCAGCAGUGGGGAAUCUUGCGCAAUGCGCGAAAGCGUGACGCAGCAACGCCGCGUGGGGGAAGACGGCCUUAGGGUUGUAAACCCCUUUCAGGAGGGACGAAGGUUCACCGGUUAAUAGCCGUGUGGAUUGACGGUACCUCCACAAGAAGCACCGGCUAACUACGUGCCAGCCGCCGCCGUAA